This 490-nucleotide ribosomal RNA is filed under the name uncultured bacterium. Its description in RNAcentral is "partial 16S ribosomal RNA". It matches the Rfam family "Bacterial small subunit ribosomal RNA", at positions 29 to 507 of the family's 1533-position model. The record is from RNAcentral.
AUUGAACGCUGGCGGCAUGCCUUACACAUGCAAGUCGAACGGCAGCAUGAUCUAGCUUGCUAGAUUGAUGGCGAGUGGCGCACGGGUGAGUAAUACAUCGGAACGUGCCCUGUAGUGGGGGAUAACUAGUCGAAAGAUUAGCUAAUACCGCAUACGACCUGAGGGUGAAAGUGGGGGACCGCAAGGCCUCAUGCUAUAGGAGCGGCCGAUGUCUGAUUAGCUAGUUGGUGAGGUAAAGGCUCACCAAGGCGACGAUCAGUAGCUGGUCUGAGAGGACGAUCCGCCACAUGGGAGGGAAGAGACGCCCCAGCCUCGUAGGGGGGGCAGCGGGGGGGUAUUUGGAACAAGGGGGGAAGGCUUAACCAAGCAGGGCGGGGGGUGGAAGGAUGGCUUGCGGUUUGAAAAGCUCUUUUGUCGGGAAAGAAGUGGCUGGGGUGAAUACCGGGGGGCGAUGAGGGUCCCGAAAAAAGAGGGCCGGGCAAACUCCGUC